AGAGUUUGAUCAUGGCUCAGGAUGAACGCUGGCGGCGUGCCUAAUACAUGCAAGUCGAACGCUUUGUCUUUAAUCUGAUCUGACGAGCUUGCUCUGAUGUGAUUUUAUCUGACAAAGAGUGGCGAACGGGUGAGUAACACGUGGGUAACCUACCUCUUAGCAGGGGAUAACACUUGGAAACAAGUGCUAAUACCGUAUAAUACUAACAACCGCAUGGUUGUUAGUUGAAAGAUGGUUCUGCUAUCACUAAGAGAUGGACCCGCGGUGCAUUAGCUAGUUGGUAAGGUAACGGCUUACCAAGGCAAUGAUGCAUAGCCGAGUUGAGAGACUGAUCGGCCACAAUGGGACUGAGACACGGCCCAUACUCCUACGGGAGGCAGCAGUAGGGAAUCUUCCACAAUGGGCGCAAGCCUGAUGGAGCAACGCCGCGUGUGUGAUGAAGGGUUUCGGCUCGUAAAACACUGUUAUAAGAGAAGAACGGCACUGAGAGUAACUGUUCAGUGUGUGACGGUAUCUUACCAGGAAGGAACGGCUAAAUACGUGCCAGCAGCCGCGGUAAUACGUAUGUUCCAAGCGUUAUCCGGAUUUAUUGGGCGUAAAGCGAGCGCAGACGGUUAUUUAAGUCUGAAGUGAAAGCCCUCAGCUCAACUGAGGAAUGGCUUUGGAAACUGGAUGACUUGAGUGCAGUAGAGGAAAGUGGAACUCCAUGUGUAGCGGUGAAAUGCGUAGAUAUAUGGAAGAACACCAGUGGCGAAGGCGGCUUUCUGGACUGUAACUGACGUUGAGGCUCGAAAGUGUGGGUAGCAAACAGGAUUAGAUACCCUGGUAGUCCACACCGUAAACGAUGAGUGCUAGAUGUUCGAGGGUUUCCGCCCUUGAGUGUCGCAGCU
This 890-nucleotide ribosomal RNA is filed under the name uncultured bacterium. RNAcentral describes it as "bacterial SSU rRNA". It matches the Rfam family "Bacterial small subunit ribosomal RNA", at positions 8 to 853 of the family's 1533-position model. The record is from RNAcentral.